Lipotes vexillifer (Yangtze River dolphin) is the source of this 72-nucleotide non-coding RNA. The record is from the annotation of a RefSeq genome assembly. NCBI's taxonomy places the organism in Eukaryota, Metazoa, Chordata, Mammalia, Artiodactyla, Lipotidae.
UCCCCAGUGGUCUAGUGGUUAGGACUCAGCACUUUCAUUGCUGGGGCCCCGGUUCGAUUCCUCGUGGGGGGG